Molecule: non-coding RNA, 65 nt
Organism: Trichonephila clavata
Lineage: Eukaryota; Metazoa; Arthropoda; Arachnida; Araneae; Nephilidae
Source: the annotation of a GenBank genome assembly
GUAGUGCAAUGGAUAGCGUUUUGGACUUUUAGUACAAAGGUUGUGGGUUCAAAUCCCACAUGGCU